GAUGAACGCUGGCGGCGUGCUUAACACAUGCAAGUCGAACGAAACACCUUAUUUGAUUUUCUUCGGAACUGAAGAUUUGGUGAUUGAGUGGCGGACGGGUGAGUAACGCGUGGGUAACCUGCCCUGUACAGGGGGAUAACAGUCAGAAAUGACUGCUAAUACCGCAUAAGACCACAGCACCGCAUGGUGCAGGGGUAAAAACUCCGGUGGUACAGGAUGGACCCGCGUCUGAUUAGCUGGUUGGUGAGGUAACGGCUCACCAAGGCGACGAUCAGUAGCCGGCUUGAGAGAGUGAACGGCCACAUUGGGACUGAGACACGGACCAAACUCCUACGGGAGGCAGCAGUGGGGAAUAUUGCACAAUGGGGGAAACCCUGAUGCAGCGACGCCGCGUGAGUGAAGAAGUAUUUCGGUAUGUAAAGCUCUAUCAGCAGGGAAGAAAAUGACGGUACCUGACUAAGAAGCCCCGGCUAACUACGUG
This 481-nucleotide ribosomal RNA is filed under the name uncultured bacterium. RNAcentral describes it as "partial 16S ribosomal RNA". It matches the Rfam family "Bacterial small subunit ribosomal RNA", at positions 28 to 507 of the family's 1533-position model. The record is from RNAcentral.